Molecule: long non-coding RNA, 336 nt
Filed under: Pan troglodytes (chimpanzee)
Lineage: Eukaryota; Metazoa; Chordata; Mammalia; Primates; Hominidae
Description: long non-coding RNA NONPTRT011730
Source: RNAcentral
CUCAAAACUUCACUGACAUGGCAGACCCCUGAGUAUUUUAGGGCUUCUCUUCACCGGGAUCUGUCUCUUCUUUUUUUUCUUUAGUCAAUGGAUACUUGUUUUGAGAACUGGCUCAGAUCUGAAAACUAGAAAUUUUACUGGGAAUUUGCUCUCAGCCCCCUGUUUAUCCAUCCUUAAUUUGUUUUGCUUAUGUGCACUAAGUAACACUAGUCUUUAACUUGAAGAAAUGGGCCACUCUUACAAGCAGAGAGGAUUCAUGUUCGGAAAGCAAGGUUUGUAAGUACAUCAGCCCAGAUAUUGCCUUCUCAAGUUUAAAGAUCCUACUUCUCAAUCAAU